This 1336-nucleotide long non-coding RNA is filed under the name Betta splendens (Siamese fighting fish). RNAcentral describes it as "lncRNA (ENSBSLG00000021900.1)". The record is from RNAcentral. Lineage: Eukaryota; Metazoa; Chordata; Actinopteri; Anabantiformes; Osphronemidae.
GUGGAUCAGUGAUCCUGCAGAGUCCUGUCCUCCCUGUGAUGGAGGGACAUGAUGUCACUCUGCACUGUCAAACAAAGAGCCCUCCCUCCAAGCUCCCAGCUGAUUUCUAUAAAGAUGGCUCCCUCAUCAGGACUGAGCCUACAGGUCACAUGACCAUCCACCGUGUCACCAAGUCUGAUGAAGGAGCCUAUAAAUGCAGCAUCCAGGCUGGUGGAGAGUCUGCGUCCAGCUGGAUGCUGGUCUCAGAGCAACCUACCACCACAUCUGUACCUACAACCCCUGGAGCCUCAACCUCUCCAGAUCAUUUUCUUCUCUACAUUUUGAUGUCUGUUGUUUGUGUCUGUGUUCUGGUUCUGCUAGUGAUUCUGUUUGUGAGACGAAAAGUUCAGAAAAAACCUACAGCUGCUGAAGGAAAAGUAUUAGAGGGUGAAAUCACAUACGGUGAUGUUAAAAUAUGUCACCAACAACAGUCAUUCAGACAUAAUAGAGGGAAGGAUGACGCUCCAGUUUACUCAACGGUGAGAACAGAAGACACCAACUACGGACAGAUCAUCAUCAGACACACUGAACCAAGGACCAGAGGUCCAGGACCAGCUGUGGUUUACUCCUCUCUCAGGUCCAGUCUCCCUCCAUCACGUGAUUCCAACCUCUGAUGUUCACCAGCAGCUACGAAAUUUACUGUUCAUGUUUUAAACUCUGAUCUGCUUCAUUUAACUUCAGUCUCACUUGUUUUUCUUUUUGUGGUUCUGUGGAAAAUGUGACUUGGUCUGUGACUGUUUGGUUGUGGUUAAAACCACAGACUCCAUCACCUGAACAAGCAUCUAGAACCCAAACCACAGAAUGAAAGGUGUCUCACUCAGGGGCACGCUUAGUGUGGGGUGGGGGUCUGAACCUGGGACCUUCCACUCCCAACACUCUACCACUGAGCCACCAAACCCCCAACAACACUGCUCACGGAGGGAACAGUUCCAGCAGCUGCAUGUGUCAUAAGAGAAGCUGUCAGCAGAGAAGAUCCAGAUGUUUUAAAAUCAUGGAGAGAUUAGUUUCUGCAUAUAAAGAAGCUUUUUAAAAACAUGAAAUGAAACUCUGUAAGUUUGUAGGUUUAAACUAUGUUAAACUCUUUUCUCAUUGGUUCCUACUUUAGCUGUAUGAGGUGCUACAUAUUAUAAUAUAAAUCAUGUGUGACAUGUUCAUCUGUUGUUUCUCUAACAGUCGUCCACUUCCUGUUUCUUGUCAAUCACAUCCGAUGAUCUGCAGAAUCUGCUGCUGUUUGUUUCUUUGAACUGUCUUCACUUUGUUUAAAUAAAGUUUUAUUCAGAUCUAUUGACUGACGUCA